ACAGGGCUCUCCGGCGCCCCUCGU
RNAcentral lists this microRNA (24 nucleotides) under Mus musculus (house mouse). Its description in RNAcentral is "mmu-miR-5627-3p". The record is from miRBase by way of RNAcentral. Lineage: Eukaryota; Metazoa; Chordata; Mammalia; Rodentia; Muridae.